This 486-nucleotide ribosomal RNA is filed under the name Triticum aestivum (bread wheat). Its description in RNAcentral is "partial small subunit ribosomal RNA". The record is from RNAcentral. Lineage: Eukaryota; Viridiplantae; Streptophyta; Magnoliopsida; Poales; Poaceae.
AUGUUGGGCGAUGGACCAGCAGGUUUUCGCUCCUCUGCCAACGCGGUCUACAGGGGGCGCGGGCAGUUCCGUGCCAGAGGAGGCCGUGGGCAAAGCAACAGAGCAGGGCGCGGUCGAGGGAACCGCUCCUCUCCUUCCCCUGCUCGCGGCGGUGGUGGCGGCGGCCAUCAGCAGCGACCUCGCCCCCAACCACAGCAACAACAACAAGAAGGAGACUACCCGGAGUGCCAGAUCUGCUACAAGUUCCAUGUUGGUGGGGCAAGAGCCUGCUGGCAUCGGUACGAUGAGGAUCAUGAAGAGAAGAAAGCAGCCAACCUCAUCACCAACAGCUACGGCAUUGAUACCAAUUGGUAUGCAGAUUCCGGCGCCACUGAGCACAUCAACGGGGAACUCGACAAGCUGACGAUGCGGGAAAGGUACCACGGCAGUGAUCAGAUACACACGGCAAGUGGAACUGGACAUGGCAACGAGGAGAGUCAUCCUUAG